CAGUAGCCGCGGUAAUACGUAGGGUGCGAGCGUUAAUCGGAAUUACUGGGCGUAAAGCGUGCGCAGGCGGUUCGUUAAGACAGAUGUGAAAUCCCCGGGCUUAACCUGGGAACUGCAUUUGUGACUGGCGAGCUAGAGUAUGGCAGAGGGGGGUAGAAUUCCACGUGUAGCAGUGAAAUGCGUAGAGAUGUGAAGGAAUACCGGUGGCGAAGGCAGCCCCCUGGGCCAAUACUGACGCUCAUGCACGAAAGCGUGGGGAGCAAACAGGAUUAGAUACCCCAGUAGUCCCUGUCUCUUAUAC
RNAcentral lists this ribosomal RNA (301 nucleotides) under uncultured bacterium. RNAcentral's name for it is "partial 16S ribosomal RNA". It matches the Rfam family "Bacterial small subunit ribosomal RNA", at positions 509 to 807 of the family's 1533-position model. The record is from RNAcentral.